GACGAACGCUGGCGGCGUGCCUAAUACAUGCAAGUCGAACGCAGUGGGGACAGGUGCGUAACACGUGGGUAACCUCCCAUCAGAGGGGAUAACACUUGGAAAAAGGUGCUUAACCCGAUACGGAUGGAUGAACCCGCGGUGCAUUAGCUAGUUGGUGAGGUAGCGGCUCACCAAGGCCACGAGGCAUAGCCGACCUGAGAGGUGGAUCGGCCACACUGGGACUGAGACACGGCCCAGACUCCUACGGGAGGCAGCAGUAGGGAAUCUUCGGCAAUGGACGAAAGUCUGACCGAGCAACGCCGCGUGAGUGAAGAAGGUUUUCGGAUCGUAAAACUCUGUUGUUAGAGAAGCGGUAUCUAACCAGAAAGCCACGGCUAACUACGUGCCAGCAGCCGCGGUAAUAC
This 404-nucleotide ribosomal RNA is filed under the name uncultured bacterium. RNAcentral's name for it is "partial 16S ribosomal RNA". It matches the Rfam family "Bacterial small subunit ribosomal RNA", at positions 28 to 526 of the family's 1533-position model. The record is from RNAcentral.